Molecule: ribosomal RNA, 300 nt
Filed under: uncultured Pyrobaculum sp.
Lineage: Archaea; Thermoproteati; Thermoproteota; Thermoprotei; Thermoproteales; Thermoproteaceae
Description: bacterial SSU rRNA
Rfam family: Bacterial small subunit ribosomal RNA
Source: RNAcentral
GCUAAGGCCAGGCCAGGGGCGGGGGUAGUAGGGGGGGUGCAAGGGUUGGUCGGAAUUACUGGGUGGAAAUGGGUCGUGGGGGGUGGAGGAAGUCGGGAGUGAAAUCGUUGGGGUUAACCCGGAGGCUGCUUGCGAAACUGCUGUGCUUGAGUGUGGGAGAGGCGCGUGGAAUUGCAGGUGUAGCGGUGAAAUGCGUAGAUAUCUGCAGGAACACCCGUGGCGAAAGCGGCGCGCUGGACCACUACUGACGCUGAGGAACGAAAGCUAGGGGAGCAAACAGGAUUAGAUACCCCUGUAGUC